RNAcentral lists this ribosomal RNA (406 nucleotides) under uncultured bacterium. RNAcentral's name for it is "partial 16S ribosomal RNA". It matches the Rfam family "Bacterial small subunit ribosomal RNA", at positions 30 to 526 of the family's 1533-position model. The record is from RNAcentral.
AUUGAACGCUGGCGGCAGGCCUAACACAUGCAAGUCGAGCGAGCGGCGGACGGGUGAGUAAUGUCUUGGAAACUGCUUUAUUGAGGGGGAUAACUUCUGGAAACGGUCGCUAAUACCGCAUACCAUUGGAUGUGCCCAUGUCGGAUUAGCUAGUAGGUGGGGUAAUGGCUCACCAAGGCGACGAUCCCUAGCUGGUCUGAGAGGAUGACCAGCCACACUGGAACUGAGACACGGUCCAGACGCCUACGGGAGGCAGCAGUGGGGAAUAUUGGACAAUGGGCGCAAGCCUGAUGCAGCCAUGCCGCGUGUGUGAAGAAGGCCUUCGGGUUGUAAAGCACUUUCAGCGGGGAAGCGUUACUCACAGAAGAAGCACCGGCUAACUCCGUGCCAGCAGCCGCGGUAAUUC